This 334-nucleotide unclassified non-coding RNA is filed under the name Hevea brasiliensis (rubber tree). The stretch from base 67 to 136 matches the Rfam family "miR-430 microRNA precursor family". Lineage: Eukaryota; Viridiplantae; Streptophyta; Magnoliopsida; Malpighiales; Euphorbiaceae. The record is from RNAcentral.
GAUUCAGUAAAACUUGACAAUCAUUUUGACAAAGCCUGUAUUUUGUUACACAACUAAGUGAUCACACACUUUACCCUAACUCAAGCACAGACUUGACUCCUUAAUGCAGUAAGUGCUAUUUGUUGGGGUAGUGUAGCUGAUUUUGCCAUUCUUUUUCCUUCACACAUUUCAUGAAGACAGACAUGUUGCAUCAUUAAUUGCUGAAAAAUUCCCAGUUUGAGAGUUGGUCCUACCUAUUCCCCUAACCUGAGCAUUGACUGGACUGUUGAAUACAGUAAGUGCUACUUGUUGGGGCAGUUUUAAGUGACAACAACAACUAAAUGAAUCAAAAGCC